RNAcentral lists this long non-coding RNA (512 nucleotides) under Manacus vitellinus (golden-collared manakin). RNAcentral's name for it is "lncRNA (ENSMVIG00005000265.1)". Lineage: Eukaryota; Metazoa; Chordata; Aves; Passeriformes; Pipridae. The record is from RNAcentral.
CUGACAUUAAGUUUAUUACUUGCUUGAUUAAUGGUUGUCAUAUCUGGUUUUCCUAUUUUAGAGAAGAAAAAAAUAAAAGAAGAAAAAAAGGUUGUACAGGGGAGACUUUACAGACAGGAGCAAGCUGGAUACAAGGCCCUGUCUAUGAGUGGGGAUUAGUUCUGCUUCUUGAAAGGACUGUUACUUACAACAUCAGCCUCCCCACCUACCCUCUGGCUACAGACACGGGCCAUCCUUGCCUUCCCCAGCUUGUUCACCACCAGCUGCUAACCCGGCACCUGUGCCUGGGCAGGCACACUUUGAUCCGAUGCUGGACCUCUGGCUUUUGCACGUGGCUGUCAUGGGUCUUUGAAGGGUUAAAGCCAGUGUGCCCGUGUGUUUGGAGGAAUGGGAUGGUAGUCGUGUUGAAGAACCUGUGCGGUCACUUUGGAUAUGAAGAGGACAUGUAAGGAUGACAUUCCCUUCAAGAGACAUAACACUUGUAACUAUAAAUAAACUUCUCAUGGAGAUCA